GUUAUAUGAACUACAGAGUUAUGAAUUUCUCAUUGCAUGAUGAGAAUACGUAGACACAAGGAUUCGAAUCAUUGGCGAGCACAUUAAUUAUUCUUUUGCCUUAGGGCACCAUCCAGAUCUUUCAUCACCCAUCACCCACUAUCUUCAUUCAAAACAUCCAUCCCCAGUGAUAUACUUUCUCUUUCAACCAAAUACACUCUUUCUUUG
This 207-nucleotide long non-coding RNA is filed under the name Lathyrus oleraceus (garden pea). Its description in RNAcentral is "Pisum sativum (pea) long non-coding RNA (PSAT_LNC031514)". The record is from RNAcentral. Lineage: Eukaryota; Viridiplantae; Streptophyta; Magnoliopsida; Fabales; Fabaceae.